CCGCAGCCGCCAAGCGGCGGCAUGCGUAUAACGAGAAUAUGAGAAAUUCCUCUUUGACUGGCCAAUAGCGAUAUUGGCCAUUUUUUU
Non-coding RNA from Serratia marcescens FGI94, 87 nucleotides. Lineage: Bacteria; Pseudomonadati; Pseudomonadota; Gammaproteobacteria; Enterobacterales; Yersiniaceae. The record is from Rfam.